RNAcentral lists this ribosomal RNA (253 nucleotides) under uncultured bacterium. RNAcentral describes it as "partial 16S ribosomal RNA". It matches the Rfam family "Bacterial small subunit ribosomal RNA", at positions 524 to 776 of the family's 1533-position model. The record is from RNAcentral.
UACGUAGGUGACAAGCGUUAUCCGGAUUUAUUGGGCGUAAAGCGCACGCAGGCGGUCGAUUAAGUCUGACGUGAAAUCUCUCGGCUUAACCGGGAGCGGUCGUUGGAAACUAAUCAGCUUGAGGCGAUGAGAGGGAUGCGGAAUUCCAGGUGUAGCGGUGAAAUGCGUAGAUAUCUGGAGGAACACCGGUGGCGAAGGCGGCAUCCUGGACCAAUAUUGACGCUGAGGAGCGAAAGCCAGGGGAGCAAACGGG